This 497-nucleotide ribosomal RNA is filed under the name uncultured bacterium. Its description in RNAcentral is "partial 16S ribosomal RNA". It matches the Rfam family "Bacterial small subunit ribosomal RNA", at positions 28 to 507 of the family's 1533-position model. The record is from RNAcentral.
GAUGAACGCUGGCGGCGUGCCUAAUACAUGCAAGUCGAGCGAACGGACGAGAAGCUUGCUUCUCUGAUGUUAGCGGCGGACGGGUGAGUAACACGUGGAUAACCUACUUAUAAGACUGGGAUAACUUCGGGAAACCGGAGCUAAUACCGGAUGAUAUUUUGAACCGCAUGGUUCAAAAGUGAAAGACGGUCUUGCUGUCACUUAUAGAUGGAUCCGCGCUGCAUUAGCUAGUUGGUAAGGUAACGGCUUACCAAGGCAACGAUGCAUAGCCGACCUGAGAGGGUGUUCGGCCACACUGGAACUAAGACACGGUCCAGACUCCUACGGGAGGCAGCAGUAGGGAAUCUUCCGCAAUGGGCGAAGGCCUGACGGAGCAACGCCGCGUGAGUGAUGAAGGUCUUCGGAUCGUAAGACUCUGUUAUUAGGGAAGAACAUAUGUGUAAGUAACUGUGCACAUCUUGACGGUACCUAAUCAGAAAGCCACGGCUAACUACGUG